GCACUGCUGAGGUGUCCCACAACAGGACGAAACGGCCGUUCAGUGC
RNAcentral lists this non-coding RNA (46 nucleotides) under Schistosoma haematobium. Lineage: Eukaryota; Metazoa; Platyhelminthes; Trematoda; Strigeidida; Schistosomatidae. The record is from RNAcentral.